CAGAGGGGGCAAGCGUUGUUCGGAAUUACUGGGCGUAAAGGGCGCGUAGGCGGCCCGCUAAGUCGAACGUGAAAUCCCCGGGCUCAACCCGGGAACUGCGUCCGAUACUGGUGGGCUCGAAUCCGGGAGAGGGAUGCGGAAUUCCAGGUGUAGCGGUGAAAUGCGUAGAUAUCUGGAGGAACACCGGUGGCGAAGGCGGCAUCCUGGACCGGUAUUGACGCUGAGGCGCGAAAGCCAGGGGAGCAAACGGGAUUAGAUACCCCGGUAGUCCUGGCCCUAAACGAUGAAUGCUUGGUGUGGCGGGUAUCGAUCCCUGCCGUGCCGAAGCUAACGCAUUAAGCAUUCCGCCUGGGGAGUACGGUCGCAAGGCUG
Molecule: ribosomal RNA, 372 nt
Filed under: uncultured organism
Description: bacterial SSU rRNA
Rfam family: Bacterial small subunit ribosomal RNA
Source: RNAcentral